RNAcentral lists this ribosomal RNA (502 nucleotides) under uncultured bacterium. Its description in RNAcentral is "bacterial SSU rRNA". It matches the Rfam family "Bacterial small subunit ribosomal RNA", at positions 28 to 514 of the family's 1533-position model. The record is from RNAcentral.
GACGAACGCUGGCGGCGUGGAUUAGGCAUGCAAGUCGGACGGUAGGGCUUUAUCGUAAGAUAGAGUUUGAGAGUGGCGAACGGGUGAGUAACACGUAGGAAUCUACCCUUAAGACGGGGACAACCCAGGGAAACUUGGGCUAAUACCGGAUGAGAGUGCGAGAGAUUGCAUUUAAAAGGAUGGCGAAAGUUGUCGCUUAGGGAUGAGCCUGCGGUCUAUUAGUUAGUUGGUGAGGUAAGAGCUCACCAAGGCGAUGAUAGAUAGGCGGCCUUAACGGGUGGUCGCCCACACUGGGAUUGAGAUACGGCCCAGACUCCUACGGGAGGCAGCAGUCGAGAAUAGUCUACAAUGGCCGGAAGACUGAUAGUGCGACGCCGCGUGAACGAUGAAUCCCUUCGGGGUGUAAAGUUCUUUUAUAUGUGAGCAGUGCUUCUUAUAUUUAACAGUAUGGGGAGAGAGAUAUUAGCAUAUGAAUAAGCAACGGCUAACUCCGUGCCAGCAC